UGUGGGUUGUAAACCUCUUUUCUCAGGGAAGAAGUUCUGACGGUACCUGAGGAAUCAGCAUCGGCUAACUCCGUGCCAGCAGCCGCGGUAAGACGGAGGAUGCAAGCGUUAUCCGGAAUUAUUGGGCGUAAAGCGUCCGUAGGUGGUUAUAAAAGUCUGUUGUUAAAGCUCACAGCUCAACUGUGAAUCGGCAAUGGAAACUGUAUGACUAGAGUGUGGUAGGGGUAGAGGGAAUUCCUAGUGUAGCGGUGAAAUGCGUAGAUAUUAGGAAGAACACCAGUGGCGAAGGCGCUCUACUGGGCCAUAACUGACACUGAUGGACGAAAGCUAGGGGAGCGAAAGGGAUUAGAUACCCCUGUAGUCCUAGCUGUAAACGAUGGACACUAGGUGUUGGCCGUAUCGACCCGGUCAGUAUCGAAGCAAACGCGUUAAGUGUCCCGCCUGGGGAGUACGCACGCAAGUGUGAAACUCAAAGGAAUUGACGGGGGCCCGCACAAGCGGUGGAGUAUGUGGUUUAAUUCGAUGCAACGCGAAGAACCUUACCAGGGAUUGACAUCCUACGAAUCUUCUUGAAAGAGAAGAGUGCCUUCGGGAACGUAGAGACAGGUGGUGCAUGGCUGUCGUCAGCUCGUGUCG
RNAcentral lists this ribosomal RNA (636 nucleotides) under Oscillatoriales cyanobacterium RCC1776. Its description in RNAcentral is "bacterial SSU rRNA". It matches the Rfam family "Bacterial small subunit ribosomal RNA", at positions 417 to 1067 of the family's 1533-position model. Lineage: Bacteria; Bacillati; Cyanobacteriota; Cyanophyceae; Oscillatoriales. The record is from RNAcentral.